Molecule: non-coding RNA, 401 nt
Organism: Camellia sinensis
Lineage: Eukaryota; Viridiplantae; Streptophyta; Magnoliopsida; Ericales; Theaceae
Source: RefSeq, a predicted model, not a curated record
UCCCUAGCAUUUUUUCCUCUCCCCACCUUCAGUUAAAAAAAAAACCUAUCUAAAGCUCAGCUCCGAUUCUCUCUCUUCCUCUCUUAUGUAACACCAACACGUGUCACCUGACGUGGCCUCUGCCUUCUCUCUCUCUGAUUCUUGAGAGUGACUGUUUGCUAGAACCAAAAAAAAAGACAAUGCUGAGAACGACGAGCUAGGGUUAGGGUUUUUCUUUCGAGUUCCACGGAUUGUUUUUCUGAUAUAUAGAGUUUUAUUUUCCUUCUUGCCAUCUACUUUUAUAUUACAUGGGAAUAAGUGAAGACAUGAUAUCUCCAUAAUCUGAAAAACCAUGUCCAAAAUCAGAAAAAGCAUCUCCACCUAAACAGGACCAGACAAACAUUCAUCUCUAUCCCGACUAG